UCCCUCUUAGCUCAGUUGGUAGAGCGCAGCACUAGUAAUGCUGAGGUCAGUUGUUCAAAUCAGCUAGCGGGAA
Molecule: transfer RNA, 73 nt
Rfam family: tRNA
About the family: Transfer RNA (tRNA) molecules are approximately 80 nucleotides in length. Their secondary structure includes four short double-helical elements and three loops (D, anti-codon, and T loops).
Source: Rfam